UCAAAUCGUCGAGAAAUGCUC
RNAcentral lists this unclassified non-coding RNA (21 nucleotides) under Dictyostelium discoideum. Lineage: Eukaryota; Evosea; Eumycetozoa; Dictyosteliales; Dictyosteliaceae. The record is from RNAcentral.